Molecule: ribosomal RNA, 501 nt
Filed under: uncultured bacterium
Lineage: Bacteria
Description: partial 16S ribosomal RNA
Rfam family: Bacterial small subunit ribosomal RNA
Source: RNAcentral
AUUGAACGCUGGCGGCGGGCUUAACACAUGCAAGUCGAGCGGGGGGAGGUAGCUUGCUACCGGACCUAGCGGCGGACGGGUGAGUAAUGCUUAGGAAUCUGCCUAUUAGUGGGGGACAACAUCUCGAAAGGGAUGCUAAUACCGCAUACGUCCUACGGGAGAAAGCAGGGGAUCUUCGGACCUUGCGCUAAUAGAUGAGCCUAAGUCGGAUUAGCUAGUUGGUGGGGUAAAGGCCUACCAAGGCGACGAUCUGUAGCGGGUCUGAGAGGAUGAUCCGCCACACUGGGACUGAGACACGGACCAGACUCCUACGGGAGGCAGCAGUGGGGAAUAUUGGACAAUGGGGGGAACCCUGAUCCAGCCAUGCCGCGUGUGUGAAGAAGGCCUUAUGGUUGUAAAGCACUUUAAGCGAGGAGGAGGCUACUUUAGUUAAUACCUAGAGAUAGUGGACGUUACUCGCAGAAUAAGCACCGGCUAACUCUGUGCCAGCCGCCGCCGUAA